AACGAACGCUGGCGGCGCGUUUUAAGCAUGCAAGUCGAACGGCAGUCUGGGUAGCAAUACCUUGACGAGAGUGGCGAACGGGUGAGUAACACGUAGGUGAUCUACCCCUGGAUGGGGGAUAGUCCGUGGAAACACGGGGUAAUACCGCAUGAGGCCUUGGGGGUAAAGCCCUGAGGUGAAAGCUCCAAUUGGAGCGUCUGGGGAUGAGCCUGCGGCCCAUUAGGCAGUUGGCGGGUAAAGCCCACAAACCGACGAUGGGUAGCCGGCCUGAGAGGGUGUACGGCCACACUGGAACUGAGACACGGUCCAGACUCCUACGGGAGGCAG
Molecule: ribosomal RNA, 327 nt
Filed under: uncultured Spirochaetota bacterium
Lineage: Bacteria; Pseudomonadati; Spirochaetota
Description: bacterial SSU rRNA
Rfam family: Bacterial small subunit ribosomal RNA
Source: RNAcentral